RNAcentral lists this ribosomal RNA (502 nucleotides) under uncultured bacterium. RNAcentral's name for it is "bacterial SSU rRNA". It matches the Rfam family "Bacterial small subunit ribosomal RNA", at positions 791 to 1294 of the family's 1533-position model. The record is from RNAcentral.
UAGUCCACGCCGUAAACGAUGGAUACUAGCUGUCCGGGGCUUUAAGUUCUGGGCGGCCAAGCGAAAGUGAUAAGUAUCCCACCUGGGGAGUACGUUCGCAAGAAUGAAACUCAAAGGAAUUGACGGGGCCCGCACAAGCGGUGGAGCAUGUGGUUUAAUUCGAUGAUACGCGAGGAACCUUACCAGGGCUUAAAUGUAAGUUGCAUUAGCUAGAGAUAGCUAUUUCUUCGGACUACUUACAAGGUGCUGCAUGGUUGUCGUCAGCUCGUGCCGUGAGGUGUCAGGUUAAGUCCUAUAACGAGCGCAACCCCUGUUGUUAGUUGCCAGCAUGUAAAGAUGGGAACUCUAACAAGACUGCCGGUGCAAACCGUGAGGAAGGUGGGGAUGACGUCAAAUCAUCACGGGCCCCUACGUCCUGGGGCUACACACGUGCUACAAUGGUAGGGGACAGAGAGCAGCCACUUCGCGAGAAGGAGCGAAUCUAUAAACCCUAUCACAGUUC